AUUGAACGCUGGCGGCAGGCCUAACACAUGCAAGUCGAGCGGAGCGGCGGACGGGUGAGUAAUGCCUAGGAAUCUGCCUGGUAGUGGGGGAUAACGUCCGGAAACGGGCGCUAAUACCGCCUACUAUCAGCUGAGCCUAGGUCGGAUUAGCUAGGUGGUGGGGUAAAGGCCUACAAAGGCGACGAGCCGUAACUGGUCUGAGAGGAUGAUCAGUCACACUGGAAUUGAGACACGGUCCAGACUCCUAAGGGAGGCAGCAGUGGGGAAUAUUGCACAAUGGGCGCAAGCCGGAUGCAGCAAGGCCGCGUGUAUGAAGAAGGCCUUCGGGUUGUAAAGUACUUUCAGCGGGGAGGCGUUACCCGCAGAAGAAGCACCGGCUAACUCCGUGCCAGCCGCCGCGGUAAUUC
RNAcentral lists this ribosomal RNA (407 nucleotides) under uncultured bacterium. RNAcentral describes it as "partial 16S ribosomal RNA". It matches the Rfam family "Bacterial small subunit ribosomal RNA", at positions 30 to 526 of the family's 1533-position model. The record is from RNAcentral.